RNAcentral lists this unclassified non-coding RNA (366 nucleotides) under fungal sp. RNAcentral describes it as "partial internal transcribed spacer region". Lineage: Eukaryota; Fungi. The record is from RNAcentral.
AAGUCGUAACAAGGUUUCCGUAGGUGAACCUGCGCUCUUGUAACCCGCGUAGUUCGCAAUCUCUGGUAAAUCAUAGCCCGGAAAGUAGUUUUGAUUCAGAGACCUCUGGCUACGUGAGAACAUUGGAACAGUUACAAUCGAGCGGUAGUUUCAUAGGCAUUGUUUCCCCAAGCAGUCAGUGUCUAAAAGUGUCACUGAUUGUGCAAGGAUAGCGCUUCAACGAUUCCUGUAGACCGUACACUCGGGCAGGAGCUAUGCCAAAGGGUCCCCAUGCCCCCUUAUAACCCCACAGUUUAAUGUGAAGCUCAAUGUAAUACAUUGGGUAAAAAAACCGAGCUACUGUUAACAAUGGAUAUCUUGGUUCUC